This 732-nucleotide ribosomal RNA is filed under the name uncultured bacterium. Its description in RNAcentral is "bacterial SSU rRNA". It matches the Rfam family "Bacterial small subunit ribosomal RNA", at positions 28 to 751 of the family's 1533-position model. The record is from RNAcentral.
AGCGAACGUUUGCGGCGGGCCUAACACAUGCAAGUCGAACGAGAAUCUCUUCGGAGAGGAAAGUGGCGCACGGGUGCGUAACACGUGGAUAACCAACCCCUGCUUGUCGGGAUAACGCUGGGAAACCGGCGCUAAUACCGGGUGUGUCCGAGGUGUCAUCAGGCGCUUCGGAGAAAGACACGCAAGGGUCGCCAGGGGACGGGUCCGCGUCCCAUCAGCUAGUUGGUGAGGUAAUGGCUCACCAAGGCAAAGACGGGUAGCUGGUCUGAGAGGAUGAUCAGCCACACUGGAACCUGAGACACGGUCCAGACUCCUACGGGAGGCAGCAGUGGGGAAUAUUGCGCAAUGGGCGGAAGCCUGACGCAGCCACGCCGCGUGAGCGAUGAAGGUCUUAGGAUCGUAAAGCUCUGUGGAGGGAGAAGAAGAAAGCCGGUGAAGAGCCGGCCUUGACGGUAUCCCUUUAGCAAGCACCGGCUAACUCCGUGCCAGCAGCCGCGGUAAUACGGAGGGUGCAAACGUUGCUCGGAAUCAUUGGGCGUAAAGCGCGCGUAGGCGGCGAGGCAAGUUGGAUGUGAAAGCCCUGGGCUCAACCCAGGAAGUGCAUCCAAAAUCUGCCUUGCUUGAAUCUCGGAGGGGGCUCAGGGAAUUCCCGGUGUAGAGGUGAAAUUCGUAGAUAUCGGGGAGGAACACCAGUGGCGAAGGCGCUGACCUGGACGAUGAUUGACGCUGAGG